This 253-nucleotide ribosomal RNA is filed under the name uncultured bacterium. RNAcentral's name for it is "partial 16S ribosomal RNA". It matches the Rfam family "Bacterial small subunit ribosomal RNA", at positions 524 to 776 of the family's 1533-position model. The record is from RNAcentral.
UACGUAGGGUGCAAGCGUUGUCCGGAAUUAUUGGGCGUAAAGAGCUCGUAGGCGGUCUGUCACGUCGGCUGUGAAAUCCCGAGGCUCAACCUCGGGUCUGCAGUCGAUACGAGCAAACUAGAGUGUUGCAGGGGAGACUGGAAUUCCUGGUGUAGCGGUGAAAUGCGCAGAUAUCAGGAGGAACACCGGUGGCGAAGGCGGGUCUCUGGGCAACAACUGACGCUGAGGAGCGAAAGCGUGGGGAGCGAACAGG